GACGAACGCUGGCGGCGUGCUUAACACAUGCGAGUCGAACGCUGAAGCUUGGUGCUUGCACUGGGUGGAUGAGUGGCGAACGGGUGAGUAAUACGUGAGUAACCUGCCCUUGACUCUGGGAUAAGCCUGGGAAACUGGGUCUAAUACUGGAUACGACAUGUCACCGCAUGGUGGCGUGUGGAAAGGGUUUUACUGGUUUUGGAUGGGCUCACGGCCUAUCAGCUUGUUGGUGGGGUAAUGGCUCACCAAGGCGACGACGGGUAGCCGGCCUGAGAGGGUGACCGGCCACACUGGGACUGAGACACGGCCCAGACUCCUACGGGAGGCAGCAGUGGGGAAUAUUGCACAAUGGGCGAAAGCCUGAUGCAGCGACGCCGCGUGAGGGAUGACGGCCUUCGGGUUGUAAACCUCUUUCAGCACGGAAGAAGCGAAAGUGACGGUACGUGCAGAAGAAGCGCCGGCUAACUACGUG
RNAcentral lists this ribosomal RNA (472 nucleotides) under uncultured bacterium. RNAcentral describes it as "partial 16S ribosomal RNA". It matches the Rfam family "Bacterial small subunit ribosomal RNA", at positions 28 to 507 of the family's 1533-position model. The record is from RNAcentral.